UACGAAGGGGGCUAGCGUUGCUCGGAAUCACUGGGCGUAAAGGGCGCGUAGGCGGCGUUUUUAAGUCGGGGGUGAAAGCCUGUGGCUCAACCACAGAAUUGCCUUCGAUACUGGGACGCUUGAGUAUGGUAGAGGUUGGUGGAACUGCGAGUGUAGAGGUGAAAUUCGUAGAUAUUCGCAAGAACACCGGUGGCGAAGGCGGCCAACUGGACCAUUACUGACGCUGAGGCGCGAAAGCGUGGGGAGCAAACAGG
RNAcentral lists this ribosomal RNA (254 nucleotides) under uncultured bacterium. RNAcentral's name for it is "partial 16S ribosomal RNA". It matches the Rfam family "Bacterial small subunit ribosomal RNA", at positions 524 to 776 of the family's 1533-position model. The record is from RNAcentral.